This is a non-coding RNA of Pelobates cultripes (western spadefoot toad), 329 nucleotides long. The record is from the annotation of a GenBank genome assembly. Lineage: Eukaryota; Metazoa; Chordata; Amphibia; Anura; Pelobatidae.
CCCCAUGUUAAAAGACAUCUUUUUCCCUGCAGAAAAGACUUAUUCGUGCUUUUCUGCCGGGUGUUCGGUAGAUUUGUUUGAGUGUGUUGUACCCCAGAUAAGAAUCCCAUGGAGCCCAUUCGCAUGAAACUGACUGUGUAAAGACUUUGGCUUCAUGGCGUUUAAACUGUAUUCGUGUGGUCUGAGCGCCAUUCGCUUAAUAAUGUGCGCUCAGACCUGAGCUAUCUGGGGAUAUGUAGAACGUAUAUGUUUUAUGUAUUGAAUGUAACUGUAGGUAAUUUUAUGUCUUUUACUGUUUGUUUUCUGCCAUGUGGUUAAUGGAGUUUUGC